RNAcentral lists this ribosomal RNA (1442 nucleotides) under uncultured bacterium. RNAcentral's name for it is "bacterial SSU rRNA". It matches the Rfam family "Bacterial small subunit ribosomal RNA". The record is from RNAcentral.
GAUUAACGCUGGCGGUGUGCUUUAUGCAUGCAAGUCGAACGGUCUCGAUUUAUCGGGAUAGUGGCAAACGGGUGAGUAACGCGUAAGUAACCUGUCCCUAAGUAGGGGAUAGCUCUGAGAAAUCGGAGCUAAUACCGUAUGUGGUGGUGGGGGUAAUGCUUCACCACUAAAGCCUUCGGGUGCUUUGGGGAGGGGCUUGCGUCCGAUUAGCUAGUUGGUAAGGUAACGGCCUACCAAGGCUAAGAUCGGUAGCUGGUCUGAGAGGACGAUCAGCCACACUGGGACUGAGACACGGCCCAGACUCCUACGGGAGGCAGCAGCAAGGAAUAUUGUGCAAUGGGCGAAAGCCUGACACAGCGACACCGCGUGGGGGAGGAAAGCCUUCGGGUUGUAAACCCCUUUUCUCAGGGAAGAAUAAUGACGGUACCUGAGGAAUAAGUCUUGGCUAACUACGUGCCAGCAGCCGCGGUAAUACGUAGGAGGCAAGCGUUAUCCGGAUUUAUUGGGCGUAAAGAGGGCGUAGGUGGCUCUUCAAGUCGGAUGUAAAAUCUCCCGGCUUAACUGGGAGGGACCAUUCGAUACUGCUGGGCUAGAGUGCAGCAGAGGGAGGUGGAAUUCCCGGUGGAGUGGUGAAAUGCGUAGAUAUCGGGAGGAACACCAGUGGCGAAGGCGGCCUCCUGGGCUGUUACUGACGCUGAGGCCCAAAAGCGUGGGGAGCGAACAGGAUUAGAUACCCUGGUAGUCCACGCCGUAAACGAUGGACACUAGGUAUGGGGAGUAUCGACCCUUUCCGUGCCGAAGCUAACGCAUUAAGUGUCCCGCCUGGGGAGUACGGUCGCAAGACUAAAACUCAAAGGAAUUGACGGGGGUCCGCACAAGCAGCGGAGCGUGUGGUUUAAUUCGAUGCAACGCGAAGAACCUUACCAAGGUUUGACAUGUCGGAAGUAGCCGACCGAAAGGAAGGCGACCUGCUAAGUCAGGAGCCGUCACAGGUGCUGCAUGGCUGUCGUCAGCUCGUGCCGUGAGGUGUUAGGUUAAGUCCCACAACGAGCGCAACCCUUAUGCCUAGUUGCUAGCUUGUUUUACAAGUGCACUCUAGGCAGACUGCCGCAGAUAAUGCGGAGGAAGGUGGGGAUGACGUCAAAUCAUCAUGCCCCUUACGUCCCGGGCUACACACGUGCUACAAUGGCCUGUACAGAGGGUAGCGAAAGAGCGAUCUUAAGCCAAUCCCAAAAAGCAGGCCCCAGUUCGGAUUGGAGGCUGCAACUCGCCUCCAUGAAGUAGGAAUCGCUAGUAAUCGCGGAUCAGCAUGCCGCGGUGAAUACGUUCCCGGGCCUUGUACACACCGCCCGUCACACCACGAAAGUUGGCGAUACCUGAAGUUACUAGGCUAACCCCGUAAGGGGAGGCAGGUACCGAAGGUAUGGCUGGUGAUUGGGGUG